Molecule: long non-coding RNA, 10627 nt
Organism: Gasterosteus aculeatus aculeatus (three-spined stickleback)
Lineage: Eukaryota; Metazoa; Chordata; Actinopteri; Perciformes; Gasterosteidae
Source: Ensembl
GGGCGUUCAGUUUAGGCCACCGGAAGUUAGACUAAUAAGAGAGCGGACGUGGGCUCAAAGAAGGUAUUGCAGAUUGAACGUGACGUAAUGAAGGGAGAAGCCGCUCAGGAGAAGUUUGUCUGACUGGUUGGAUUCUUACAUUGAACCAGUUAGAAACAACACAAUAAACCAAAAAGACCGAACAUCUGAUUAGCAAUUAUGCUUAUUAUAGAUAUAUUUAAUAAAGUCAACAGUCGAGCACUAGUCAAGAGAAGUGGGAACGAUGUGUUUUUUAAGUUAAUUGAUUUAAUUCAUUUGUGAUGGCUACCCUAACAAGGCCAGAAAAAGACGGAAAAAGGAUGAGAAAGUAAGUAGGAUAAGUUUGUUUCCCCCUCAGGAGCCACCCUCACAGCAGGGGACAGACUGUGCGGAGAGCAGCGGGUUCCAGCAGCGAGAUGUCUACACAAAGCAAAACUAAAGCCUUCGAAGAAGAAGGAGCGGACAAAAAACGUGUGCGUCCACUGAGGAUGCUCACUUUUUGGAAAGCGAAGGACCCCCCCCCCCAAAACGUCACCUCCUCAGCGAUGGUACGACACACGGCCCUUCUGAACACCCCGUCUCAAAGCCCUCACGUUGAUCCGGCAUGGACAACCAACGAUGGCCACGCGGAACAGUUCCUCCUCCCUGAGUCAUACGGGGAAGACAGCGCCUCCCGUUAGACCCCGUUUCUCUAAGGCGGUCUGACCAACAGAGACGUGCUGCAGACCGAUAUGAAAGCCGAACCCCUCGAGCCCAACGUCCGGGGGCUCUGGUGAGAAACACAGGCCAAACAGAAUAUGUGCCAUGGGGACACCGGGACUUUGAGACCCUGGUAGCUUCUUUACCUCCACUGAAGAGGGGUGCGGACCCCUAGGUUCGACGGAUGGAAGAGCUCACGGCGAAAGACCAGCUGUCGCUCGGAGAGGUGCGCGCCUUGCUGCUCCGCGCCAAAGCUAAGCUAAACGAAAUAGAAGCUAUAACCGACACCGCCCACAGAGCUGACACAGAUUCUUUUAAUUCCCACCGAGGAAGGUACUGGCAGGCCCUGCGAAGCAUCUGGCCUACUCAACUGGACAAGUCCGCCCUCAUCGGGAUGGAGAAGAAAGCGGGGGAAGAAAUGUAUCGGUACCUGCAAAGAGCAGAGGAAGAAUGGCUUAGAGUCACAGGAGUGAGACACGACCGCGAUUAUUUCACCACCUGGUUUUGGCGUACCCAGGUGCAAAAAGGUUUGCCACAGCCGGUGCAGCAGAAGAAGUGGAGGAACUUAUAGGAGACAUGGAGGAUGCCUCGUGGAGAGGGCACCUCGCUCGACACGUCCAAAGACACCAGGCGAAGGAAGAGAGCAGCCAAGAAGAACUAAGGAAGCUGACAAUACAACUGCUAAGAAUGCAGGUAGCCGAAGCCAAUAAAAAGAAACACCAGGCCAAGAUGCAGAAGAAAGCAACAGAGGCCCAAGCAACCCAACAUGCCCAGAACACCCAGCCAGGAGCACCUGCAGAGCCGUCUCAGCCUUACCCAGUGGCCCCCGCCCAGCCAGCGUUUCGCUACCAACCUGCUCAACCGUAUGCAGACGGAGGACGAGGCUACGAUGGAGGAGCAUUCCAGGAAGGGUGGUACGGGCCACCGCACGACCCAGGAAGCAGAGACGGCUGCUACACAUGCGGCCAGAAAGGACACUGGUCCAGAACCUUCCCCAGAAGAUGAGGAUGAGGAAUCCGUCCUGACCAACAAGAUCGGUACUGAGGAGGCCCAAAUUGUUCUGCUUUUUUGUAUUUUCGUUUUCCUUUUUAGGGUAAUUUUGUUUCUCUCAGAACCAUUUAAUGCCAAAUAUGUUGCACAUAGAAGAAAUUUGUUUUGUUGUGACUGUGCAAACAACAAAAAAUACUAAACAAAGAUGCACACAAGUGCAUGGACAGGAGUAAUGUUCAAAUCUGAAAUAGUCCUGGGAGGCAUGGAAGACUUUUUGUCUUUGUCGUAUCUUUUUUUACAUUUUUUGUAUUUUUUUACGGUAUCAUUCUAUAUUUUUGUAUAGAAUAGGGGGGCCCGGUGAGGAUGAGCGCGACCUCCUUCAACCCGUAUUGUUCUAUCAGAGUACUCACUCUAGAGUACUGAAUGGGAACAGCAAAAAGCCUGGGCAUGAAAUAGAGCUUCUUGGCAUGGUCAGCCGUCUGGAAAUUCAACAAGCAAACCGUUUCAUUGGGUGAUUGAAUAUUAUAUUUGUUAUUCACACUGCCUGUACUGCGUUUGAUUUUGUAUUUUUUAAUGAAAUAAAAAGUUGAUUUUUAUUGAACCAUCUAUUUUGAUUCAUUCCACGACGAACCCCUGACGAAGUCAGACUGAACACAUUCUUCACACAAGCCCCUGUGCAUCUCUGUAAGGGCCUCAUUUUGUUAUCCAUUAUGAAGGUACAUCAGAACAAGGUGCAAUGACGUGGCAAACCGUUGCAUACACUUAAUCCGUCAAUGUCAUUUGACAGAGGAAGUCUGUUAAAACCGCAAGAUCAUCGUGACAACCGGCUGCAGGAAGUCACUGACAAUAGUUACAGCGUGUACCUUUUAUUCGGUCCGUUUGCAGAUUAAACAAACCCUAAAAUGUUGUUGUUGUUAUUGUGUUCCUUGUGUGGUUGUAAAGUUCACGGAACACAAUGUAGCUCUUCAUCUCAGAGCUGUUACUCCGUCAUCCUCCUCUCAUCUGCCAGCUUCUCACUCCUCUCCGUCUGCUCAGCUCGACCACGCACAAGCUGCUCUCCCCUGCCCUCGUACUCCAAGAGCCCCCAACCCCCCCCACCGCAGUUAUUAUGUGAUGUGUUAAUGUAAAACUAUUACUAACAUUUGGACAGAUUUAUCCGUCAACAGUUGGGCCAGCACGGGACCGGCCAUGUGGGACUGCAGUCUCCCCAGGGGGGGCAGUUACUACCCCCCCCCACCCCGCCACCCUCUUUCUGAUGCCCAGUUUUAUCUUCAAGAGCAAAGGAAAGGUGGUUCUUCUUGCUGCAUCAUGCACCAAUAGUAGAGAUCCCACAGUGUCAAUUUGAUAGCGAUGCCUCUGAAGAAGUAUGUAAGCAAACCAGACUAGGACGAUUAUUUCUUGAUGCAUGUCAGGAGGAAACUGAAUGAGCGUCAAUAUUUUCACUGGCAAAGAUCGAGCAGUACGCUGACAUUAAAAGGAAGCAGGAGAUGAAUAAUAACACAUAUUUGGGCAACGUUCAGUCAACCUGAAAGCUGAUUACAUGCAUAUCUUCUAAAAAUAAACCCCCUUUAAACUUUGCCACCUCGCCAGUAGGUUGGGCUCCACAAGUUAAUGAGUGAAUGUUUCAUGUAUCUCGAUGAGGCAUCUCUACGCUCGUACUUUGAGCAAUAGAGUAAAGAACUCAUGAUAAUGUGAGUGCUAAUAUCGUGUGUAGGCGGAGUCACGGUGAGCGGGAGGAAUAAAGAGUCACUAGCAGGCUGUUAGCAUGUCAAAGUCACUAGUGGCCUGUUUGCAUCUCAGAGUUCACUAGCGGCCUGUUAGCAUCUCAGAGUUCACUAGCGGCCUGUUAGCAUCUCAGAGUUCACUAGCGGCCUGUUAGCAUCUCAGAUUCACUAGCGGCCUGUUAGCAUCUCAGAGUUCACUAGCGGCCUGUUAGCAUCUCAGAGUUCACUAGCGGCCUGUUAGCAUCUCAGAGUCACUAGCGGCCUGUUAGCAUCUCAGAGUCACUAGCGGCCUGUUAGCAUCUCAGAGUUCACUAGCGGCCUGUUAGCAUCUCAGAGUUCCCUAGCGGGUGGGGAGGGGGGGCUUUGGGUGGGGCCGGCUUUGAUUGUUGCUGCGACGCCCCGCUAACCAGAGCCGACUGAGUUGCUGCCAGCGCGACGCCACGAGGGACAGCGAGGACCUCUGCCCUCUGGUUUUCAGCCACACGGCGUAAGCCAGCGACAGUGAUGUGCUCUCCACAGCUGGCGCCCGCGGCCUCGCCCCGGGGCGCGGGAGAUGUGACCACGUCGGCGCUCGCUGGCUCCCCGGGUCUCAUUAGAGCCACGUCUGGGCCUCAGAUAUCCCCCAUAUGCAGCACACACACCAGCGGGGUGUUUUGGUUUGUUUAUUCUUUAGAAUAUAGCCAAAGGGAUGUUAGAUGCCGGGUACCCUUCUUGCCUCAUUAAAUGUCCCCCUGUUCUCAGAAAUCAGCUCCCUUGGAGAUUUGUGUAAAUAUUUGUGUUCACAAAUGAGGCGAAAUCUAUUUUCAGUCACCAAAAUAUGACUUUCCAGUUUCUAAUAAUCCUACAUAUAUUAUAAUUUAUUUGUUAUUGUUGUUAUUUAAUCAUUAAUGAAUAUUCGAAAAAACAUAAAAAGGCGUAAAAUCAGUCCAGUUUAAUAUUUGAUCUUUUGGUCCUGAUAGAAAAACAAAAUGUUCUUCCCUGUUUAAACCUGCAGCCCGUUCGGGUUUGGCAGGAGGAGCAUUGCAGGUGCAGAAGUUACAGUUCGACAUACGCUAAUUUCUUUUGUCACAUAGGAGUACAAAUAAAACCAUUUGAAUUGAUUAGUAAUUUCAAUCUAACAUUGUCAGCCGAGGAGUUUUCUUCCUGCUAGAUUCAUUUCAGUGUAAUAAGGACGGUUGGUUUUGGAUCAUUACUGAUCAAUUUAGAUUGCAUUUGACCCAGAAGACUUUACACCUUUAAUCUCUUUUUGUAAUUAGAGGCCCAAUUGGUAAAUCUCAGUGUUCUUCUUACAGAAAAAACAAAAAUUUUCCAUAUGUCACAAUCGUAAGUAAUGGUCAGCAUGACAAAAACAGGGCACAGCUCCAGUCCACGCUCAGUUUAUCUCAGGUGCUGAAGAAGAUGGGUCGCCCCCCCCCCCCUGCAGCCAACACUUAUCUGUUCAUCUCUGAAAGACGAGGCGAAGCCAUCGGAUAUCUGCCCGAAUCAAAUCACACCGCUAACGUCUCCCGUGUUCAGGAGCUCAUUUUUCUAACGUGAUCCACACACGGGGAUGUGCACAGGAGAGGACACCGGCGGGUCAAGUCGAAGAGGCCUCACGGACACAAAAAUGGAGAGUGAAAGAUGCAAGUGGAUUAUCAGCUUUGGGUCCAAAGCCGUGGAAGCUCUUGACCCCGUCCAAGCAGCGGCUGCUGCAGACACCACUGGGUGAAGGAAGACUUUGCACAAUUUACAGAGCAACGAAGUGGAGAUAAAGCCGCCUUUUUUCCCACCUAAGGGUGAAACACGCCAAAUCUACUGAUGCAUUUAGAGGGAUUCAGCUUUUCCAUUGAAUACUGCAGCUUACUGACCGCAGCGCAUAUUGUACCAGUGAGCAGAUGACAGCUUGACACGUUAUCCCUUAUGCACAAAACCAUAUGUCGUUGUCCAGCAUUUAAAUGCCAUUUCCUCAUUAAUCCCUCAAGAACUCUGUUACCACCACUCUCAAUAACACCCUUAGAACAGGUAUGACGUAAACAGCUGGACUUCCACAGUGUUCAGUUAAAUGCCCUUGAAGCUCUUUGCCAAAGUGAAGAUGACUUUAAUGGUUCCAGUCGCUCAGGAACCAGAUCCAGGAAAAAAGAUUUAGCAACAUCUCAUUUGCUUUGAGUUAGGAGAGUGAGAUGGGGUUGUGCGUGUGAGCCAGAUACAAGAAGUAACACAACGGAGCUCAGUGGAAAACAGCAGCUUUGUCUCGUGUCUGCAGGUUGGAAAUGCACUUUCUCAUCUCUAAAAUGAACAAUAUGUCUGUCACAUCGCACAGUGAGCGACUGUCACUUUUGACAGAAGAAGAAGAAGAAGGUACUGAAGCUGCAUCUCCUCUUGAAGCCUUCCCGGUAGACGCCUCACACCUGCCCGUUGCGUCUUUGUUGAGUAACGGCUGCUGGAUGACGAGGGGGAGCUGCAGUCCGAGGUCGAGGUUGCGAAAACGUCACCGCGGCCUUUGCUGAGCCAUCGCGCACAAGGAGGUCGUCGGCGUUUGCCUCUCAAUAAUUCCCUGAGCACGUGAUGCUGAUGUGGGGGGGACGAUGCCCGGGGGAAAGCUGAGAAUGACUCCAUCCGCUCACAGCGCUUAUUGGAACACACACAGUAUUCAGAAUUAGUGCUCUAAUUUUUCUCCGUCCCCUCCUUGGUGAUGUGGUUAGUCGAUGUGUGUCGGAUGAAUAGACGGCAGCCGCGCUCCGAAAACCCACCGACGGAAACCCACCGCCCGCCCCUCUGACCACGUCGUGCUCCGCUGCAGUCGAGCCAAAACCACGCGCGGUUGAACCCCCGCUGGAUCUUCUAGAAACGCUCACGCUUUGGUUGAGAGACCAGAGCCGCUCCAACCAACAGACCUCUGCUGACUUCACAGGCUGUUUGUUCUCCGUCUCCUGGAGGGCUUUUAAGCCCUCAAAUAUUUGCUCUUGGGCAACUAAAUUACAGAGACGCUACGUCGCUCGCCCUCGCCUCCGUCCUUGGACCCGACUUCCGAGGUGUCUGUGCACGGGGACGGGACGCUGUUCUCGAGCGCUGGUACAUUAGUCGCUCUUCCGUUCGAUUGUCGCGCCAGCACACUUUCGCCAAUGUGCGUGUCAGAACACACAAAAAGAGCAUGGAAUUAUUGUUCAGUAAAGGACCAUUUUUUUUAUCCGCUUAGCACGUUGACUGGUUGAUGAGGUGCAGGAUGUGGCGCAGGAAGUGGCGGAGGAAGUGGCGCAGGAAGUGGCGCAGGAAGUGGCGGAUCAAUGUAACUGUCUGGCAGGCGCUCUGCCCCGGAGAUAAACCUCCCGCUCUGUGUUUAAUGUGAGAAGGCCGUCUCACAUUAAACACACACACUGAACGCAACGCGCGUCACGAGUGAGGCCGCAGUCUUGGUUUGCGGCUGUCGCCGGGUUGUUUUUUUUAAGUUUUGGAAUUGAGAGCAGUGAGGUUCAGACCGCGUGUACGUCUUUAUUAUUUAAGAAGACUUGAGAUUGAGACCAUGAACUCGUGUUUGGCAAAGGUCACCUUUUACACAACUGAGGCAGUGGAAGCACACGAGAAGUGUUCACAGGAAGCAGGGGAUGCAGUGCUUUCCUGUUUGCCCUCAUGAUGCUGCUGUUGUCUCACGGUUAUGAAUAAAACACAAUGACUGACUGCCGAUACCGUUUCUGCAAACACAACAUGCUCCUUCGUUGUAAAGUGUUUAACUGGUGACACAUAAGGAGACUUUCUCAACUACGGCAAAUAAUACAAAUUUGGAUAUGGCUGUAAUCGUAUAUUCCAGAAUUUGUCCCUUUAAUCAUGAACUUAACGAAGUUAAAGACCGUGAAGGGCGACGGGGUGGAGGUGUGAGAAUCCAACACCCCCCUGCGUCACUGCUCAUUUAUUUUAGCCCCAAUGACAAUAUUUGCCUGAAUCUCGUCUCUUCCUUUCCUCCUCCGCUGAGCUCACUGAGAACGAAUGUGUGUGUGUGUGUGUGUGUGUGUGUGCGUGCAGACUCUCGCAGACACACAACAGUGCCUUUGAAAGUGUUUCCUAUUUAUAGAGUGUGUACUGUUUCCGUUGUCAUGUUGAUGAACAUCACAUUCAAAAGCCUGAAUUCUUUCUCAGCGUUCGCUUUGGAGAAAUUAGAAUUGAAAAAUGCAUCAAUCUGACACUGUAGAAGUCACUGAUUACACACAACCAAGGACAACGGCACACACACAGACACACACGGACAGACACGGACACACAUAGACACAAAUAGACACACAUGGAGACAUAUAGAUACAGACAGAUACACAUAGACACACACAGACACACACAGACACACAUGGAGACCCACAGACACACACAGACACACACGGACACAGUUCAGGUCUAAAAACAACGUGUUGCAGGUGUUUCUGAGCGUCAUCAUUUAUUCUCCUUUAUCUGAAUUUAUGUUUUAAGCAUUUUUAACAAUAGCGUCCUCCAUCUUUCUCACAGGAAAACUCCUGGUUCCAGGUGUAACCCGCUCAGGGGGGGGGGGUCUGUGUAGAACCCAAAUAUGUGGAGAUGUACCUAGGAUCCUCUACAGAGAACUCUACUAUGGUGUCAUGGUUCCACAGCCCUCUCUGCACGUUCUGCUCGGUUCCCGACAACAAGAACCCACCUCCAAAAACGUUCAUAAAUGGGGAUGAGCGGCUGACCUUUGAGAUACUUCUGUGGUUCCAUUCCCCCAACAACAGCAGACGCAUAUAAACACAAAUCCUCACACACACACACACACACACACACAGACACAGACACACACACCCUGGGGGUCACCGGUGCAGAUCUUCAUCCUGCACGGCAGCGAGGACGCGUCCUCAUCGGGCUGACCUUUGCUGCAGAGGGAGACAACGCUGAAAUGUUGAUGAUCCUCGUGCUGCAGGUGGAGGAACACACUGACUCCCCCAUCAGGGCGCCUCGUGGGUGCUCACAGAGCCGCAGUCCGGCCCUCCUGUUCGGGGGGCAGUAACCAUCGCUCCUCCAUAAUACCCCUUAAUGCCUCCUCGCGCGCACCGUCCGGUCCUCCCAGGAAGCCGCGUAUUGAUUUUUUGAACAAUAUAGUGGAAGAAACAAAACAAAAAGGAGUUGAAAUUCAGGUCGAUGCCCCACAAAGGUGUAAAUCGAUGGCGUUUUAAUCUGGCUAAGCAGCCCCAGUGAAUAGUCGCUAUGGAUCUCUUCUUCACAGUAAUUUAUGUGAGCUGUGGGGCUCAGAGCUACAAGACGUUUGUAUUUGGAGGGAAAUGGGCGACUUGUUACAUCGAUUAUCAGGAAUAAACUGUGCUGCAGGAAGUUAAACACGUCACUAAUUUGCUGUAUUAUUUGCAACACCUUUGGAAAAGGAAUCUUCACCUGUGACGACGUUUACAGAACGAAUUCAUUAAUUCAUUUAAUGACAUGACAAUUGCUUUAUUGGUACAGUUCAUAAUUAUAUACUGUAUGCAUACAUAGUGCACAAUAUUCCCCCAGUGUAAACUUGAUCAUACACAAGAAGCGAAGGCUCAGCAGCGUCUUUCAAAUGUUACUGUUUCUUAAUUAAUCCGAGCUGCGUCUCGUACUUCGUGCGUUCUGAUUUAAAAUAGAUGCUUUGGCUGGAAACCCUCCGCGUGUGACGUCUCUCCUGCUCUCUAAAAAAAAAAGACCUGAUGUUGUUGAUGUGGCCGUCGGUGAAGUGACGGGCAAACAUCUGAAAACAUGAAAAAGUGUCAUCUCUGUCGGAGGGUUUAUCUCACGUGUGCCCUCUUCCACUAAUUGGACCGCGUCCCGUGCGGUCUCGCUCCACCUCGGGUUCCCAGAUGGAAGAAGACGCGCGUGGGAGACAUCCUGGAGGCCACGUUAGAACGGCGGCCCGCUGAAAAGGUCUUGAGAGACGAGGGUGUCGAGCCAAAAGGUUGAAGAAGAAACGACAGGUGUCUGUACGUCUCAAUAUCUCGGGCUUCUGUUUUCCCCUUUGAACCGUGAUAUUUCUUGUCGUUGGAUGAUAAACUGGGCUGGAUGUCAUUAAGAAAACGCUGGUAGCGAACAUCGGUCCUCGCUUUAGAUUCUGAGCUGUGCCUCCGUCCUCACCGCCCCGGAGCACGCAGAGGUGCAGCGCCGCAGCGACCACAAAACCACGCAAUUAACCUUGGAGACGGUUUGAAUUCCGCCAACAGGGAAUAAACGCAGCAUCCCGUGCAGCGGCGAGGACCAAUGGGGGAGCAGGACCCGCCACGCCGGCCUCGCGCUUCGCUCUCCCGACCUCUGCUGAUGAGCACAUUUAAUAGUCUGUCUCCCCGUGCAACCUUUUUGUCAUCAAUGCCCCCCCCCACCCCCGCCCCCCCGCUCACAAUGCUUCAGAGGAGGCUGCAGAUAUUCAAACGGAUUGUUUUAAUCAGCCAAAAAACACAUUAUGGAAAUCCUUGUUUGACUUUUGUGUCUGUGUCGAUCGGAGCUGCUUUUGUCAACGUUCAUUCUUUCUUUUCACUUUUCUUCUCUUAUUAUUUUUUAGCACGAAGGCGUUCGAAGGCCUUGCGUGGGCAGAUGGGUAAAUGGGGGGAAAAUUCGCUCAUCAAUCAAAACACGGCGUGAUGAAUAUGAUAUAAUACAAGCGUUUUGUCAUUUCUCUGUCCUCUGUGAGCUCGUGGCUUCAGCGCUAAAGCGGCUAAGUGGGAAUAAACGGGUGCAGAGCUGCAGGAGGCCAUGAGGGCUUAGGACUUUACCAGCGUCAAUAAAGAGGAAUCAACCAAAACAAAGAAGACACGUCUGGCUCUGCUGCAUCGAUUUGGAUCAUCGUCCUUUAAUGGAUUUCAUCAAAGCGGUUAUCGGUAAUUAAAUUCAGAAUAGUCCGUCUCCUAAAUAACUUUAAGACUCACUGUAAUAUGACACGAGCCCAACAUGUAAUCGCUCCUUUGUUUCCACCGCGUUGCAUCACCGCUGUUGCUAAAAAGGCCCACAACACAGAAUUGUUUCAAUCCCGAACGUCAUGAAAUUAAAAGCCGGGAGGCUUAAACGCUUUCCAUUACGGAGCCGUCACGAGCGAUAUCCACCACUGUGAACUUUGAAGGGGAAACGGAACCUCCCUUCGACAUUAAUUGAAUAUGUAGGCUAUGAAAAAUGUGGUGCUUAAGCUCGACGCUGGAAGGGGUGAAAUCAAUGUGAGCGAGGGCAAGUGUGUGAUCCCAAAGCCCAAUUAGGAAUCUCCCCCCAGC